UGGAUCACCUCCUAACAGGGAGACAACAACUGAUUUUGAUGUCUGAGUAAUUUAUUCUCAGGCCGAAAUCCUGUCAUCUCGAAGGUCGAUCGGUACCUCAACUUGAGGGUCUAGAGAAUUUAUUCUGCUAGGCCAACUCAAUUUCAGUUCCUAAACUUUGUCUAGGUCACCCACUAAGGGUAAAUAACUCCUGGGCCAUUAGCUCAGGUGGUUAGAGCGCACCCCUGAUAAGGGUGAGGUCCCUGGUUCAAGUCCAGGAUGGCCCAUUCGUGUUUGGGGGUUUAGCUCAGUUGGUAGAGCGCCUGCUUUGCAAGCAGGAUGUCAGCGGUUCGAGUCCGCUAACCUCCAUCCAACAGGAGGCCCCUUGGUUCGAAUUCUGAAAGGAGUUCCUGGUGAGGUGACAUAGAUUUUAUUCGGAACUGGCAUCAAACGAUGACCAAGUAAGCAACGCUGAGUCAAUUGACUCCAGCCUCGUUUCAUUCCAGAGUUGAUGAUCUAACAAGAGAUCAGCCGGUUGAAACGAUGCUGGACUCAAGGCUUUUAACCAAAGUCUUAAGUUUCAGCAGAACCUUGACAACUGCAUAGGUAAGUCUGGAAAUAAAGCAUCUCAUGGAUGCCCAGACGCGAAAGAGAUCAGGUGAGGGUGAAUAACCUGAGCUUGAGAUUUUUGUGUGUUUGGGAAAAAUUCUAUUGAGUUUUUAGAGCCGAGAAAUCCAAUGGUUCUUUUCAGCCAUCCAAGUUAACUGCGUGGAGGGCUUGAAGAGUUUGAUCCUGUAAUUCAAACCAGUUCAUUUUUGAACCAGGUGAAUGCAGAGAGAAUGGGCCUCAACAGCCUGAAGYCAUUGGAGGAUAAUUUGGUCAA
This 862-nucleotide transfer RNA is filed under the name uncultured cyanobacterium. Its description in RNAcentral is "partial contains 16S ribosomal RNA and 16S-23S ribosomal RNA intergenic spacer". The record is from RNAcentral. Lineage: Bacteria; Bacillati; Cyanobacteriota.